UACGAAGGGGACUAGCGUUGUUCGGAAUCACUGGGCGUAAAGCGCACGUAGGCGGAUGUGUCAGUCAGGGGUGAAAUCCCGGGGCUCAACCUCGGAACUGCCUUUGAUACAGCACGUCUCGAGUCCGGAAGAGGUGGGUGGAAUUCCUAGUGUAGAGGUGAAAUUCGUAGAUAUUAGGAAGAACACCGGUGGCGAAGGCGGCCCACUGGUCCGGUACUGACGCUGAGGCACGAAAGCGUGGGGAGCAAACAGG
Molecule: ribosomal RNA, 253 nt
Filed under: uncultured bacterium
Lineage: Bacteria
Description: partial 16S ribosomal RNA
Rfam family: Bacterial small subunit ribosomal RNA
Source: RNAcentral